GAAGAGGUGGCUGAGUGGAUUAAAGCGAUAGACUGUAAAUCUAUUAUGUAUAACCGAAGGUUCGAAUCCUUCCUUCUUCA
This 80-nucleotide transfer RNA is filed under the name Ceramothamnion japonicum. RNAcentral describes it as "Ceramium japonicum tRNA-Tyr". It matches the Rfam family "tRNA". Rfam says of the family: Transfer RNA (tRNA) molecules are approximately 80 nucleotides in length. Their secondary structure includes four short double-helical elements and three loops (D, anti-codon, and T loops). Lineage: Eukaryota; Rhodophyta; Florideophyceae; Ceramiales; Ceramiaceae. The record is from RNAcentral.